GAUCAAGUCAAUAAGGGCAUGUGAUGGAUGUCUUGGCGUCAAGAGGCGAUGAAGGACGUAGGAACCUGCGAUAAGCCCGGGGGAACUGGUAACCAAGUUACGAUCCCGGGAUUUCCGAAUGGGGCAACCCGGCUCUUUAUGAGUCAUCCACGGCUGAAUGUAUAGGCCGUGUGAAGCGAACCUCGUGAACUGAAACAUCUUAGUAGCGAGAGGAAAGGAAAGCAACAGCGACUCCGUUAGUAGCGCCGAGCGAAAGCGGAUCAGCCAGCAGACUGCGCGAAUGGCAUUGAAUGGCCAACCACAGAAGGUGAUGGUCCUGUAGUGCAGAAGCUGGUUAGCCCUAGAGUAGGGUCGGACUCGUGAAAUCCGGCCUGAACACGGGGGGACCACCCUCCAAGGCUAAGUACUCCUUGACGACCGAUAGUGAACCAGUAAGGCGACUGAAUGAUGAAAAGAACCCCGAUAAGGGGAGUUCAAAGAACCUGAAAUCACAUGCUUACACAGCGGUUGCAGCCCGUAAGGGUAGCAGCGUGCCUUUUGCAUAAUGAUCUGGCGAGUUACUCUCUACGGCAAGGCUAAGCCAUACCCUGGCGCAGCCGAAGGGAAACCAAGUCUUCAAAGGGCGUGUAGUCGUAGGGGGUAGACGCGAAACUGCGGUGAUCUACCCAUGGGCAGGUUGAAGAGAGGGUAAAACCUCUUGGAGGACCGAAGCCGUGAACGUUGAAAAGUUCUGGCAUGACCUGUGGGGAGGAGUUAAAGUCUAAUCAUACCCAGAGAUAUCUCGUUCUCCCCGAAAUAGUUUUUGGACUAGCCUCGUGUAUCACAAGUUGGGGGUAGAGCUACUGAAUGGAUUUGGAGGGCACACCGCCUAUCCGGUCUAAUCAAACUCCGAAUACCAACUUGGCAGGCACGGGAGUAAGACUACGAGGGAUAAUCUUCGUGGUCAAAAGGGAAACAACCCGGACCACCAGCUAAGGUCCCUAAUCGAAUCUAAGUUAGAAAGGUAGUCGGAUUGCUGUGACAGCUAGGAUGUUGGCUUAGAAGCAGCCACCAUUUAAAAAGUGCGUAACAGCUUACUAGUCGAGGAAUCCGGCGCCGAUAAUUAUCGGGAAUAAGGUUCGUACCGAAGCUGUGGACUAAUAAUAUUAGUGGUAGGGGAGCGUUGCUGUCAGCUGUGAAGCUUUCCCGGUAAGGGUUGGUGGAGCGGCAGCAAGUGAAUAUGCCAGAUUGAGUAACGAUAAAUGGAGUGAGAAUCUCCAUCGCCGUAAGCCCAAGGUUUCCUGGGGAAGGUAAUUCCGCCCAGGGUUAGUCGGAUCCUAAGACGAGGCUGACAAGCGUAGUCGAUGGACAUACGGUCAACAUUCCGUGACCUGCAUAGAAGGCCAAGCCGACGUGACGAAUUUCAAAGCUCAACGGGACAGUGAAGCGUCCAGGCCCUUGAGGCCGAUGUUGGGCAGAGAAGUUCCAAGAAAAACCGUUCGGAUACAACUAUGCAGUCCGUACCAAAACUGACACAGGUGGGCGUGGCGAAUAGCCUCAGGCGCUCGAGAAAACGGUCGUGAAGGAACUAGGCAAUUUUACCCCGUACGUUCGCAAUAAGGGGGCCCUCCUCGCAAGAGAGGGCGCAGAGAAAAGGCUCUGGGAACUGUUUAUCAAAAACACAGCACUGUGCUAACUCGUAAGAGGACGUAUACAGUGUGACGCUUGCCCGGUGCCGGAACGUCAAGGGAGCUGGUUAGCGCAAGCGAAGCUAGCGACCGAAGCGCCGGUAAACGGCGGCCGUAACUAUGACGGUCCUAAGGUAGCGAAAUUCCUUGUCGGGUAAGUUCCGACGCGCAUGAAUAGCGUAAUCACUGGAGCACUGUCUCCAC
RNAcentral lists this ribosomal RNA (1871 nucleotides) under Planctomycetota bacterium. RNAcentral describes it as "bacterial LSU rRNA". It matches the Rfam family "Bacterial large subunit ribosomal RNA", at positions 1 to 2025 of the family's 2925-position model. The record is from RNAcentral. Lineage: Bacteria; Pseudomonadati; Planctomycetota.